RNAcentral lists this long non-coding RNA (228 nucleotides) under Erythranthe guttata (spotted monkey flower). RNAcentral describes it as "long non-coding RNA (EGUT_LNC002545)". Lineage: Eukaryota; Viridiplantae; Streptophyta; Magnoliopsida; Lamiales; Phrymaceae. The record is from RNAcentral.
ACAGUACAUUUGGGUAAAAAAACUUACAGCUGUAGGAAGUGGGAUAUCUCUGGAAUACCUUGUAAACAUGCUAUUGCAGGUAUGUUUUAUAUGCAUUAUCCAUCUGAACAGUUUGUGGUUGACUGCUACAAAAAGGAAACAUUCUUGAAGGCUUACACUAGGUUGAUGAACCCUAUGCAUGGCUCAUAAGAAUGGCCAAAAUCUUCGAGGAUUCCACUACAACCCCCU